This 480-nucleotide ribosomal RNA is filed under the name uncultured bacterium. RNAcentral describes it as "partial 16S ribosomal RNA". It matches the Rfam family "Bacterial small subunit ribosomal RNA", at positions 28 to 523 of the family's 1533-position model. The record is from RNAcentral.
GACGAACGCUGGCGGCGUGCUUAACACAUGCAAGUCGAACGAUGAAGUUCCUUCGGGAAUGGAUUAGUGGCGAACGGGUGAGGAACACGUGAGAAACCUGCCUUUCAUUUUGGGAUAACUCCGGGAAACCGGGGCUAACACCGAAUACUCCGUCUCGGCGGCAUCGCUGAGCCGGGAAAAAAUUUUGAUGAAAGAUGGUCUCGCGGCCUAUCAGCUAGUUGGUGAGGUAAUGGCUCACCAAGGCAACGACGGGGAGCCGGCCUGAGAGGGCGACCGGCCACACUGGGACGGAGACACGGCCCGGACUCCUACGGGAGGCAGCAGUGGGGAAUAUUGGGCAAUGGGCGCAAGCCUGACCCAGCGACGCCGCGUGAGGGAUGAAGGCCUUCGGGUUGUAAACCUCUUUCAGUAGGGAAGAAGCGAAAGUGACGGUACCUAAAGAAGAAGCACCGGCUAACUAUGUGACAGCCGCCGCAGUAA